Molecule: ribosomal RNA, 484 nt
Filed under: uncultured bacterium
Lineage: Bacteria
Description: partial 16S ribosomal RNA
Rfam family: Bacterial small subunit ribosomal RNA
Source: RNAcentral
AUUGAACGCUGGCGGCAGGCCUAACACAUGCAAGUCGAGCGGAUGAAGGGAGCUUGCUCCUGGAUUCAGCGGCGGACGGGUGAGUAAUGCCUAGGAAUCUGCCUGGUAGUGGGGGAUAACGUCCGGAAACGGGCGCUAAUACCGCAUACAUCCUGAGGGAGAAAGUGGGGGAUCUUCGGACCUCACGCUAUCAGAUGAGCCUAGGUCGGAUUAGCUAGUUGGUGGGGUAAAGGCCUACCAAGGCGACGAUCCGUAACUGGUCUGAGAGGAUGAUCAGUCACACUGGAACUGAGACACGGUCCAGACUCCUACGGGAGGCAGCAGUGGGGAAUAUUGGACAAUGGGCGAAAGCCUGAUCCAGCCAUGCCGCGUGUGUGAAGAAGGUCUUCGGAUUGUAAAGCACUUUAAGUUGGGAGGAAGGGCGGUAAGUUAAUACCUUGCUGUUUUGACGUUACCAACAGAAUAAGCACCGGCUAACUUCGUG